This 442-nucleotide ribosomal RNA is filed under the name uncultured bacterium. RNAcentral describes it as "partial 16S ribosomal RNA". It matches the Rfam family "Bacterial small subunit ribosomal RNA", at positions 338 to 795 of the family's 1533-position model. The record is from RNAcentral.
CCUACGGGGGGCAGCAGUAGGGAAUCUUUCACAAUGGGCGAAAGCCUGAUGGAGCAACGCCGCGUGCAGGAUGAAGGCCUUCGGGUUGUAAACUGCUUUUAUAAGCGAGAAAUAUGAUGGUAACUUAUGAAUAAGGAUCGGCUAACUACGGGCCAGCCGCCGCGGUCAUACGUAGGAGCCGAGCCUUAUACGGAGUGACUGGGUGUAAAGAGUUGCGUAGGUGGCAUAAUAAGUAGCUAGUGAAAUCUGGUGGCUCAACCAUUCAGACUAUUAGCUAAACUGGUAAGCUCGAGACCGUUAGGGGUAACUGGAAUUUCUAGUGUAGGAGUGAAAUCCGUAGAUAUUAGAAGGAACACCAAUAGCGUAGGCAGGUUGCUGGGACGGUUCUGACACUAAGGCACGAAAGCGUAGGGAGCAAACGGGAUUAGAUACCCUAGUAGUC